This 484-nucleotide ribosomal RNA is filed under the name uncultured bacterium. RNAcentral's name for it is "partial 16S ribosomal RNA". It matches the Rfam family "Bacterial small subunit ribosomal RNA", at positions 30 to 507 of the family's 1533-position model. The record is from RNAcentral.
AUUGAACGCUGGCGGAAUGCUUUACACAUGCAAGUCGAACGGCAGCACGGGGGCAGCCCUGGUGGCGAGUGGCGAACGGGGGAGUAAUACAUGGGAACGUUCCCGGUCGUGGGGGAUAACGUAGCGAAAGUUACGCUAAUACCGCAUACGAUCUGAGGAUGAAAGCGGGGGACCUUCGGGCCUCGCGCGAUCGGAGCGGAUGAUGGCAGGUUAGGUAGUUGGUGCGAUAAAGGCUUACCAAGCCGACAAUCUGUAGCUGGUCUGAGAGGACGACCGGCCACACUGGAACUGAGACACAGCCCAGACUCCUACGGGACGCAACAGUGAAGCAUUUUGCACAAUGGCCACAAGCCUAGUCCACCCAUUCCUCGUGCAGGACGAAGGCCUUCUGGUUGUAAACUGCUUUUGUACGGAACUAAACGGCUCUGGCUAAUACCUCGUGCUCAUAACGGUACCUUAACAAUAAGCACCGGCUAACUACGUG